RNAcentral lists this transfer RNA (66 nucleotides) under Marmota monax (woodchuck). RNAcentral's name for it is "tRNA.Ala". It matches the Rfam family "tRNA", at positions 6 to 65 of the family's 71-position model. Rfam says of the family: Transfer RNA (tRNA) molecules are approximately 80 nucleotides in length. Their secondary structure includes four short double-helical elements and three loops (D, anti-codon, and T loops). Further hydrogen bonds mediate the characteristic L-shaped molecular structure. tRNAs have two regions of fundamental functional importance: the anti-codon, which is responsible for specific mRNA codon recognition, and the 3' end, to which the tRNAs corresponding amino acid is attached (by aminoacyl-tRNA synthetases). tRNAs cope with the degeneracy of the genetic code in two manners: having more than one tRNA (with a specific anti-codon) for a particular amino acid; and 'wobble' base-pairing, i.e. permitting non-standard base-pairing at the 3rd anti-codon position. The record is from RNAcentral. Lineage: Eukaryota; Metazoa; Chordata; Mammalia; Rodentia; Sciuridae.
GGAUGUAGCUCAGUGGUAGAGCACUUGCCUAGCAUGUGUGAGGCCCUGGGUUGAUCCCCAGCACCA